Pelobates cultripes (western spadefoot toad) is the source of this 531-nucleotide non-coding RNA. The record is from the annotation of a GenBank genome assembly. NCBI's taxonomy places the organism in Eukaryota, Metazoa, Chordata, Amphibia, Anura, Pelobatidae.
UGAUUUUGUGUAUCUUUUCAUGUCAUAGCCAAGAAUCCUAUUUACUAAAUAGUGAGCUAGAGUGAGUUAAGGGGUCACAUGUCCAACUAAUCUACAGACAAUCACCUGUCCCAGGAUUACAUCUUACAAAGGCUACGGAAGCUAAAAUGUGUAAACAUUUUGUGGUAGACAUGUCUGUUUAAUUGCUUCCCUAUCCAUAAAAAUGUUAUGCCUUGUUUCCACUGGGCGGAACGGUUCGGUACAGUUUGGAAGGGUUAGAAUGGUCCAGCCUAUUCAGGUGAGAGUUUCCACUGCAAGUAGGACCGCCAUGGGCCAUGCAGGCUGUAGACCAAAUGCCUAGCAUGUCAUUUGUUGUGAGCAUUGACGUUUUCCUAUCCGCCAAUCAAUGGAUUGUAUAGUGUGACGCUAGUAGCUCCGCCCUAACCAUACCUUACCAUUUCCUAUGGACCUUCAUCUGAAGGGGGGCCAAGAAUGGUGCGGUGCGGUUCAGUUGUAUGAGCCACUUUCAUAAUGGAAACACUCAAAACAGCG